This 468-nucleotide ribosomal RNA is filed under the name uncultured bacterium. RNAcentral describes it as "partial 16S ribosomal RNA". It matches the Rfam family "Bacterial small subunit ribosomal RNA", at positions 28 to 507 of the family's 1533-position model. The record is from RNAcentral.
GAUGAACGCUGGCGGCGUGCCUAACACAUGCAAGUCGAACGGACAGGCCCUGCGUUUGUGGGGUGCUCGAUUGGCGAACGGGUGAGUAACACACGUGUAACCCCCCCUUGACAUUGGGGUAACUUCAGGGAACUGGGGCUCUUACCGGAGAGGAGCUCCUGCAGCAUGGUGGGGGUUGGAAAGUGUCGGGGGUUGUGGCUGGACUCGCGGCGUAUCAGCUUGUUUGGGGGGUAGUGGCUUACCAAGGCUUUGAAGGGUAGCCGGCCUGAGAGGCUGACCGGCGACAUAGAGACUGAGAUACGGCACAGACUCCUACGGGAGGCAGCAGUGGGGAAUAUUGCACGAGGGGCGGAGGGCUGGUGCAGCAACGCCGCGUGCGGGAUAACGGCCUUCGGGUUGUAAACCGCUUUCGCCUGUGACGAAGCGUGAGUGACGGUAAUGUGUAAAGAAGCACCGGCUAACUACGUG